Molecule: ribosomal RNA, 913 nt
Filed under: uncultured marine archaeon
Lineage: Archaea
Description: bacterial SSU rRNA
Rfam family: Archaeal small subunit ribosomal RNA
Source: RNAcentral
UUCCGGUUGAUCCUGCCGGAGGCUACCGCUAUUGGAGUUCGAUUAAGCCAUGCGAGUCGCGAGUCUUAGGGACUCGGCGUACCGCUCAGUAACACGUGGGUAACCUGCCCUAUGCUGGGGGAUAACCUCGGGAAACUGAGAAUAAUACCCCAUAGUUCACCACGCCUGGAACGGUGGGUGGACCAAAGCUCCGGCGGCAUAGGAUGGGCCUGCGGCGUAUCAGGUUGUAGGGGGUGUAAUGUACCCUCUAGCCCUCUACGCGUACGGGUGUUGAGAGACAUCGCCCGGAGAUGGAUUCUGAGACACGAAUCCAGACCCUACGGGGUGCAGCAGGCGCGAAAACUUGGCAAUGCGAGAAAUCGUGACCAGGGAACUCCAAGUGCAUCGGGUAAGACCGAUGCUUUUCUUGACUCUUCAAAGGUCUUGGAAUAAGGGGUGGGUAAGGACGGUGCCAGCCGCCGCGGUAAUACCGGCGCCCCAAGUGGUAGUCGCUUUUAUUGGGCCUAAAACGUCCGUAGCCGGUCUGGUACAUUCGUGGGUAAAUCAACCAGCUCAACUGGUUGAAUUCUGCGAGCACGGCCAGACUUGGGACCGGGAGAGGUGUGGGGUACUCUCAGGGUAGGGGUAAAAUCCUGUCAUCCUGAGAGGACCACCUGUUGCGAAGGCGCCACACUAGAACGGAUCCGACGGUCAGGGACGAAGCCUAGGGGCACGAACCGGAUUAGAUACCCGGGUAGUCCUAGGUGUAAACGCUGUGGACUUGAUGUUGGGGGCGCUCCGAGCGCACUCAGUGUCGAAGCGAAGGUGAUAAGUCCACUGCCUGGGGAGUACGGUCGCAAGGCUGAACUUAAAGGAAUUGGCGGGGGAGCACCGCAACCUGAGGAUUGUGCGGUUUAAUUGGAGUCAACGCCGG